AUGGAGUUUUGUGAUCUCCAUGCUUUCAAUUUGGCAAUGUUAGCAAAACAAGUGUGGAGGUUAAUCACAAACCCCAAUACUUUGUGUGCGAGAGUUCUGAAAGCUAAGUACUUUCCCAACGGAGAUUUAUUGUCAGCAGGUCCAAAAAAGGGUUCCUCCUUUACUUGGCAGAGUAUUGUUGCAGGGAUACAGACUUUUAAAAGAGGUCAUAUUUGGAGAGUCGACACUGGGAAAAACAUUAAAAUAUGGGAGGAUCAUUGGAUCCCCUCAAGUCCAUCGAGGAAAGUCAUAACACCAAGGAAUAAUAUUGUUCUAAGUACUGUUGAUCAACUUAUCAACCCUAUCACUGGCAUAUGGGAUGAGGAGUUGAUUUUGGAUAUUUUCAGUCCGGUCGACUCAGUAAGAAUCUUGCAAAUCCCUGUUAUACCUGGUACAGUUGAUGAUUUUGUAGCUCGGCAGAUGACAAGAAAAGGAGCUUUCUCAGUUCGGUCAUAUGGGAUGAGGAGUUGA
This 510-nucleotide ribosomal RNA is filed under the name Triticum aestivum (bread wheat). Its description in RNAcentral is "partial small subunit ribosomal RNA". Lineage: Eukaryota; Viridiplantae; Streptophyta; Magnoliopsida; Poales; Poaceae. The record is from RNAcentral.